Molecule: ribosomal RNA, 731 nt
Filed under: uncultured bacterium
Lineage: Bacteria
Description: bacterial SSU rRNA
Rfam family: Bacterial small subunit ribosomal RNA
Source: RNAcentral
CAGAAGGGGAUAACACUUGGAAACAGGUGCUAAUACCGUAUAACACUAUUUUCCGCAUGGAAGAAAGUUGAAAGGCGCUUUUGCGUCACUGAUGGAUGGACCCGCGGUGCAUUAGCUAGUUGGUGAGGUAACGGCUCACCAAGGCCACGAUGCAUAGCCGACCUGAGAGGGUGAUCGGCCACACUGGGACUGAGACACGGCCCAGACUCCUACGGGAGGCAGCAGUAGGGAAUCUUCGGCAAUGGACGAAAGUCUGACCGAGCAACGCCGCGUGAGUGAAGAAGGUUUUCGGAUCGUAAAACUCUGUUGUUAGAGAAGAACAAGGAUGAGAGUAAAAUGUUCAUCCCUUGACGGUAUCUAACCAGAAAGCCACGGCUAACUACGUGCCAGCAGCCGCGGUAAUACGUAGGUGGCAAGCGUUGUCCAGAUUUAUUGGGCGUAAAGCGAGCGCAGGCGGUUUCUUAAGUCUGAUGUGAAAGCCCCCGGCUCAACCGGGGAGGGUCAUUGGAAACUGGGAGACUUGAGUGCAGAAGAGGAGAGUGGAAUUCCAUGUGUAGCGGUGAAAUGCGUAGAUAUAUGGAGGAACACCAGUGGCGAAGGCGGCUCUCUGGUCUGUAACUGACGCUGAGGCUCGAAAGCGUGGGGAGCGAACAGGAUUAGAUACCCUGGUAGUCCACGCCGUAAACGAUGAGUGCUAAGUGUUGGAGGGUUUCCGCCCUUCAGUGCUGCAG